Molecule: non-coding RNA, 24093 nt
Organism: Podarcis lilfordi (Lilford's wall lizard)
Lineage: Eukaryota; Metazoa; Chordata; Lepidosauria; Squamata; Lacertidae
Source: the annotation of a GenBank genome assembly
ACACCUAGUAAGCAACAGACUACAAACAGCAUGUUUAAUAGGCCUCUCAGCAAAAGCUUUUAAAAAUGCACGCAGGCACUUCAUACAUAUUCCCAAUUGUUGGACAUUUUGCUAGCAUUUUCACAUUGAUUUCCUCACAGUAGGGCAAUGACUGAAAGUGUAGUAAGAUGCAUACUGAGAAAGAAUGGCUAGCUAUAAAUGAUAAUUUGAUCUUUUUCUUCCCAGAUGUACUUUCAUAUUGUUGUGGGUUUGUGUGUGGGGGGGGGGGUGUGUCAGUCUAGAAUGUCCUGAUUCUCUUCCAGUUCUUGGAAUUCUGUACCCAGUGAGAGCAUCCAACAGAGAAGUUUGAAGAACUGGUCAGACAAGUUUUUUAUAAGACCUUAGCUGGCCACUUAAAGAAUGAGCUAGGUUGCAACUAAGUGAUGGUGCCCUCCAGGCUAAUGGGUGGGUCUUGCCUCACCUAGCUGCUAGGUAGGAGAACAAUAGCUGGAGUGUGAGAGAGAGAGCUGAACUGAAGCAGGCUGAAAGCUGGAGACAUGCUUGAUCUGUGCUGGAUCCAAAUCUGUGAUUAAUAGAGAAACAAGAUAUGUUGGGGAGUUAAUACUGCGAACAUCUCCAUCUUAUGCAGGGAUCAGCAAACUUUUUCAGCAGCGGAGGCUGGUCCCCUUCCCUCAGACCUUACGGGGGGGCCCAGACUAUAUUUUUUUUUUGGGGGGGGGGGAAAUGAUGCAAGAGCACCACGAGCCCCUGUGGCUGCUUACCUGUGUCUUGUGAGCAGCAGGGGCUGGCGGUGGCAGAGGGACGAUGAGCAGCACACAAAAGGGCUCCAGAGAGGGGCCGCUUAAAAUGGCGGCCGCUUGAGCGCUGCUGCUGCUGGCACCAACAAAGCCCAGCCCCCUUCUGCCUCUAGGCAGGGCGGAGAGAAGCCAGGAGGAGGGAGGGAGGAGGGAAAGAAUGUGUGCACUGGUGAUCCACGUGGCGAUCCCCGAACCGUCUGCGGGCUGGAUCCAGAAGGCAAUUGGGCCUGAUCUGGCCCGCAGACCUUAGUUUGCCUACCCAUGAUCUUAUGCUUAGCUUGUACAUAUGUGUCAAUAAAACCAUAUCACCUGCAGGCAUCACAGUCUCUGCCGACCCUCAUUCCAAGACAACCAAACCCCAGGUAAGCAUUGGAACCCCUAAAAAUCUCUCACCACUUGGAGAUUGGGGCUGGCAUGGAGCAAUGUUUUUCAUUCUAACUGUCUAUCCUAAGAUGGAUUUUAUAGCUAAGCCUGCCGGUGGAAUGUCUAAUGUGCUGGAAUUGCAAUACAAAGACAGUCUGUCUGUAGCAGUUGCCCCUGGCAAUCUGGCAAGCCGAAUUGUAGAUUCUAGCAGGCUAUGGAGACCUUUGUCUUCUCUGGUCCACCGGACUGGGGCUUGCAUACCCUCCUGGUACCACCAUACCAAAUAGUUCUGUCACCAGAGUUUCAGUUUCACCACCCCUUUCACCAGCUUGAUUUAUACCAGGUUAGCAGGUCAUAUGGUCUAGCUCAGGGGUCAGCAACCUGCGGCUCCGGAGCCACAUGUGGCUCUUUUACACCUUUGCUGCGGCUCCGGGGCGGAUACUAGCAAGGGGAGGUGGCGCAUUGUGCGCCCCGACACUCCCCACUGUGGCGGGCGCUGUACUGGCUGUGACGUCGCAUGGGGGCGGUGCGUGCGUUAGUCACGCACCGUCCCGACGUCACCUUCCCGCCCGCCUGCUACAUUAUAAGGGGCAUGUACGCUGGUCACUGCAUUGGAAGGGGGCAUGUACGCUGGUCACUGUUUUGAAGGGGAGUGAAGAACACACACACAAAAAAAGGUAACUUGUUAAUUUAAUGUUUAUUUCUAUGAGGAGGAGUAAUUCUGAGGGGUCAAACAAAGAAAUAAUAAAAAGUGACAAAAAAGUUAUUUUUAUAAUGACAAGUUUUGUGGCUCCCAGUUUUUUUUCCUUCAGAAAUGGGUCCAAGUGGCUCUUUUUGUCUUAAAGGUUGCAGACCCCUGGUCUAGCUGAACAAACUUAGGAUCCCAUCUAAGUCCCCCUUCAGGUUCCUCACCAGCCCUAAGGAACACCUGCUUUCCAGGGCUUAUGCUAGUUUAAAAUCUGCCCAGAUCAGUUUUGCUGGCUGAGCCCUGGCUGAGCUGAAUGAAGAACUCAGGUUUAACAUAACUUCAGCUAAACCAGGGUUUGGGAUUUAUAUAACCUAUCUGAGCCAUAACCCUCCCUUGCUCAGUUGGAGAUUCACUGGAUCCUAGCUUGCUCAUCCCAGCAGAUCAAGCCUUAAGAUUGCACCCUAGGUGGUUUAACGGGGCAACAAAAAGAAAAAAUGUACAUUGCAAUCCAUUCCCCACUUUCCUGAGAGUAAGACCCAUUGGACUCAAUAGUACUCAUUUCUGAGUAGACAGUGAUUAGGAAUUCAUUGUUAGCGAAACAUGCCUGGGAUAAAUACAAUCACCAAUCCUCGGUUUGUUAGAUUUCUUAAUGGAUGGAUUUAAUUGCUGUGCUGGUUGACAAGACUGUAGCAAACUGCAUGCAAAAAAAUCAGCUAACCUCUCUUGCUUUCUAAUAUACUGUAAUAGGAUAACUGCCUGCCUCCCAGCAGGGUCUGGGAAGAAGAACCUGCUGGAAAUAUCCUAAAAUGGCUACCCAGAUUGUAAUAGUUGCAGCCCUCUGGGCCCAAACUGCAUUUUAUAUUCUAUAAUCCCAGUUCCUGUGCGUUCAUACAUGGCUAAUUUUUUUUCCUGGGGUGCGGAAGAACAUCCCUAAAAGCAUAUUACAACAAGAAGAUAAGCCGUGCUGCAUUUAAUAACUUUAUGUGGUCUGAUGAUGAUGGUUAAUCACAUUUGGCUCCAGUUGUGCAGAAUGUAUUUUAGUGCGUUUGCCUAGGCUGAAGCCUUCCUUUGGAUAUCGUUUAGUUAGCUAGUCGCAUUUCCCUGUUAUCCGUUUGAUAUUGUCACAUGAUUUGAGGGUGUUUCUCCCCCUCCCACCAUGAACCAUGUAAGAGUUAAAGCUUUCCCUUUCCAUUUCAGGCCUGGCUCAAAGUGUUUUGCCUUCAGAAAUAAGGCAUUUUUGAGGGAUAUUUGUUCCUGCCAUGCCAGCAUGGGCAUAACCAGAAUUUAUUUUAGGGGGGCUUUACUGAAAUGCAGAUAGGCUAGGCACAUAUUUUAACUGACAGCUUCGAUGUCAGCAGUGCCCAGGUUCUAUCGCUAGUAAUCUGUUUGGGGUGAUUUGAACACUUUGCAUAUUCAUUUCUCCUUUUAAAUAAGCAGCUCAGUUUUAAAGGAAGUUGUUCUGAAUGUGCUCUGAGGGGCAUCACCAACCGGCAGGCAUGUACCUUAACAACUGUCAUUGUCCAGUGUACUAAUAUAUUGCAGGCAAUAUUUUCGCUAGCCUGCAUUUACUGGAGUUAGAAAAUCUGCUUGGAUCAAAUGAAUCAUUGUGAACUAACAAGGGCAAGAAGUGAGUCACCUAUCAAAUUAAUUUUAUCUGUCUGCACUCAGCUCCAGGGUACGUGACUACACUGCACAAAAUACUCUGGUUGGCCUUUCUACUUAGAUGGAAGAAAACCCAAUUUCAUACUUGGUUCUCGUCUCUAGUGAAGUAUCCAGCUUGUUGCAAAUAAGAGCUCUCAUGGGAGCGGGCUAUAAUCAACUUUAAAAGCAGAGAGACCCGUUUUCACAGAAUUGGGGACAGAGUUCUUAUAUAUGAAGCUACUGUACACUUGAAGGCAAUCAGUAGUAUACUGUAGUAUACUCAGGGGUAGGGGGAAUGAUUAAGAUGGUUCACCCCAGGAAGCUGAUGGAUAUGGAUGGUUUCCUGAUGGCUCUUCAGGGGUUUCCUGUUACCUUAGCAGGCAAUUCUGUCAAAGCCCUGGUGGACCUCUGGAAUGGAGAAAUGACCAGAAUGGUGGACAUGGUCGUUCCUGAGUAUACCCUCUCAGAGAGUGGAGACAGCCCAGCCCCCUGUUUCUCGAAGGACUUGGUGAUUAUGAAACUCAUGUUGGCAGAAAACUUGGAAUGAAUCCAACCGAGUACAAGCUACAGGUUAUUUGAAGUCCAGUGUGGUGUAGUGGUUAAGAGUGGUAGACUCAUAAUCUGGUGAACCGGCUUUGCGUCUCCACUCCUCCACAUGCAGCUGCUGGGUGACCUUGGGCUAGUCACACUUCUUUGAAGUCUCUCAGCCCCACUCACCUCACAGAGGCUUUGUUGUGGGGGAGGAAGGGAAAGGAGAUUGUUAGCCACUUUGAGACUCCUUCGGGUAGUGAUAAAGCGGGAUAUCAAAUCCAAACUCCUCCUCCUCCUCUUCUUCUUCUUUUGCAGCAAUGCAGGCAGUGAAAUGUCUCCCCCCCCCCACCUGCAUUGUGUUAUCAAGGAGCCAUCUAGCAUGACUGUUUUGAGUGGUCCAGGGUCUUUUACACUUUGGUCCACGUGAGGAGCAGUUAGACCACUUGCUGUGAACAAUUUGCUCAGCACUUUGCUGACAAAAUCAGCUCCAUUCUGACUUGGAUGUUAUAGUUUACAGGUCUGGUGCAGGUAAUUUGGCACCUUAGUUGUCCAGUGUUAAUGGAUACUUUUCAACUUGUACAACCCAAGGAUGUGAAUGGGAUCCUUGGAAACAGGGCUGGUCCAAGACAUUUUGGCACCUGAGGCGAACCACAAAAUGAAGCCCUGCUCCCCACAAGGGAAGAAGGGGUGGGUGGAGAACUACAUCAGGAACAAGGGGGAAAUGAAGAUCUACAUCAGGCUCUGCUGCCCCUGUGGAUCCUGCCACUGAAGGCAGUCACCUUACCUUGCCUCAUGGGUGGGCCGGCACUGCUUGGAAAUGUGAGAGCUAGAUCCUUGGCUUUCCUGGCUCAUCAAAAAAAUCCAGCAGUUGAUUGGUUGAGUAGGUGAAGGGAGUGGUCAUUGCCUCCUUGCAAUAAGCAGAGUUUCAGCAGGCCUAAAGGACACAGUUAUAAGAUCCUUCUAGAAUCCCACCAUAUUGGAUAAUUAUUAACCAGUUUCCAAUAUCCCAAUCUGAGGCAAGCUACCAAGUUAUCAGAGACGCGGGUGGCGCUGUGGUCUAAACCACUGAGCCUAGGGCUUGCCGAUCAGAAGGUCGGCGGUUCGAAUCCCCGCGAUGGAGUGAGCUCCCGUUGUUCGGUCCCAGCUCCUGCCCACCUAGGGGUUUGAAAGCACGUCAAGUGCAAGUAGAUAAAUAGGUACCACUCUGGCGGGAAGGUAAACGGCAUUUCUGUGUGCUGCUCUGGUUUCACCAGAAGCGGCUUAGUCAUGCUGGCCACAUGACCUAGAAGCUGUUUGCGGACAAAUGCCGGCUCCCUCGGCCUAUAGAGCGAGAUGAGCGCCACAACCCCAGAGUCGUCCGUGACUGGACCUAAUGGUCAGGGGUAUCUUUACCUUUACCAAGUUAGCUCUUGAAUUGUCGGAAAGGAGCCACAGUAAUAUGCAGGACACAUCCUCUGCGUGCAGUAGACCCUGGUUCAAUCCCAGGCAUUUCUAUUUCAAAGUAGCAGCUGAUGGGAAAUACAUCUGUUAGCUUGUGAAGUGUCAUAGCUCAGAGGAGGAAGAAGAGGAGGCGGCAGCAGCAGCAGCAGGGUGCUCAGGCCCCAGCCUUCAUCCCUCCUGCCACCCUCAGCCACUGACUCUGUCCCACUGGGCCCAGCAUCACCCUCACUCCGCUGGUACCUAGACCAGGUCUACAGCCAAGGCCGAGCUCAAUAACAAGUACCUGCCUGGACUCAUGGCUGAGGAGGACAGCCUGGACCCUUCACUUCCCCAUGUCAUGCAACUGCUGCAAGCUAAUAAAUGUCCCUUCCGCAUAAGGGAAGGUAGGGGAGAGCGGCUGUUAUCAUACCUUCAAGUGAGCUGAGACUUGUUUCAUUGAUGUUGUUAAGGCUACCUUCUGGGCACUGUAGUAGCUGCUCAGCUCAUUUGAGCAGGGAAGAUGAAACCUAGGUGGAUAUCCCUGGUUUAGUCCCCUUUCCUGUAUUCUUAAAAUAAUGAAAAAAGAAUCAAUAACAAACUAUGAUUUCCAGGAUUCUUGGGGGACGUAAUUUUCUGAUUCACCUCAGGCGCCAAAACAUCUUGAACCGGUCCUGAUAUAAAUGCAUUUAUUAGUGAAAUAACAUACAACGCCACAUUAAAUGAGAGAAAAUUGCUUUGCAAAAGUGUAUAUUAGACAAACUGGCAUAUAAAAUGUGUAUAUUAGGAGAAAUUUGCACUGACGUGGUGCAAAAGAAAUCAUAAACCAAAUGUGGAGAAUCAAACCUGGAAAAAUGGGAAACUGAAAGCCCGAAAUUGACAUCCUCACCCAUCCCAACACGAAGCUUAAGAUUCAGUAACAGGAAGCUAAAACAGCAACUGCUUCCCUGUGGUUCCUCACUUCUCAUUCUCCUGCUGGCAAGACUUCAGGAGCUCUCUACACAUGGCCGGUUGCUGCACUGAACUGUCCCUGACAAAUUGAUGAAAGAAAAAUUGCGGGUUGAAGUUGGCUUCAUUUCGCACGAGGACCACAAUUCAAUUACUUGGACCAUACUACUGUGAGGUAGAGGGUUAUACACAGAGGAAGAGAAAGCUACUAAAAUCCAAACAAAAAGUGGGAAGGAAUUGAAUAUUGUGUGACUGGAGGGCGUAGGGAAUAUAACACAUAGUAAGGAGGUUUCCACCCCACCCACAACCACCAUUUACUUCUGCCAGGGUCACCUGUCACUAUUGGGCAGAAUGAGGUGAUAUUGACUGUUGUGGAGGGCAGUAAAUUGCUAUUUAAUUUGUCAUUAUUGUUAUUUUUCUGCCAGAGAGGGGGAAAGGUAAGGUGCUUUGAGAGUUUUCUGCCUCAGGCCACAAAAUAUCUUGGUUGUGCAUACUUGGAUACAACAUACUUUGAUGUGGGGCAACAUUUGCAGUAACUCUGCCUCAGGCACCAAAAUAUUUGGGAUGGCCCUACCUCCUGUGGUUACUUAUAUUCUGAGGUGUGGGUGCUUAAGGGGAAUUGUUGAAUUAUUUGGGUGAGGGUGCCAGGUUUAUUCCCAGCAUGUCUUUAAAAAAAAAUGGGUGGAGGGAGUCCCAAACUAGGAGCAAUAAAACAGCUCAGGAAACAAAUGCAUGGAAGCUGAUUUAGUUUGUUAUUAGGGACAUUUAUAAAAAUGUCACUUAGGAAGCACCUGAAGAUGGCAUUUGUAGGUGGUGAAAGGGUCAAAUUCAUGUUACAGUAUAUUCAUAUUACAACAGUAUAUUGUCAGUUGAUAAUAUUUCUCUAUGUACUUUGACAAGAAGUUAAGUGAAGGCAAAUCAGCUUUCUCCCCUCUGCAGCAAGAAUUCUGCAUACUACAUUUCUAGAUCAGAGCUGCAGCUAUGGUAGCAGUUAGGGGACCGCUGCUCCCAUUCCUGCAUAUACCCUCUUUGUAGUAAUCUGUUUCUUCACAAAUAUACAGGUUAAGUAGAGGCACAUUGCAUAGGGAGGAAGACUGUGCUAAAAGCUAGCUCAGUUCUUUACUUGGAAAUUAGCAGCCAGCUGCUUCCAUGCUUCAUGUUGAAAGACACCUGAGGGGUAUGUGUUUGUGUGUGUUUGCAUGUGUGUAUAACUCUAAGUGUGAAGGGGUGUGUGAGACAGAUACAGACAGAAAAGCAAUGAGAGAAGGGAGCAGAGCAAAAUAGGAAGAGUAAAUAGAUUUUUCCUGAUACAGACUGUGUACACAGUCCUGUUUACUCUGCAUCAAGUGUGCUCCCGAUGCUGGUUUGGGAGGUGGUGAGCACACAACGUUAACCACAGUCCAUAUCUGUCCCGUCUCUAUCCAGAUUUCUUAUGAAACAACACAUUUUGAUGCAUCUGCCUUUCCCUGCAAAAGCAUAUGCAAUCUGAAUCAAGAAAAAGAAUGACCUGGCUGUGUUUUAAGAUGGUAAUGUGUACACAGCCACUGAUUGCCCCAAUCCUGUAAUUUCCAACCAUUUAUUUUUAUUCCACUUUCCUACAAGACUGUGCCCAAAGCAGCUCACAAGCUAUCACCAGUGUUGGUGUAAUUUAAACAGUGGGUUAACUUUCACCAUGCUUGGUCUCAUGUCUUGAGGAACACACACCCCAUUCUCCAGAUGUUCAGAGAUAAGAGAGAAGGUGCACAGGGGUACCUGCGUAUUAUUUGCUGAGUCAUUCACCCUCCCAUUGGUUAAUGAAAUAUGCCUAGGUUUAGAGAUGAGUAUAACUGUCUCUAGGGCAUUGCUUUCAUUAAGUUGUCCUGAUGGUCGUAUCUUGAUGUCCUGUCCUGCUGCAUGUCCUGCUUGCUGUCAGUGUCUGGUUCAUAAUCUGUGAAAGUCAAGGGAAGAGGUUGUGGGUUUUACACAGCAGUGUUAGUUAGCAUGGUGAUAGUGUUAGUGGAUCUGUAGCAGGAGUGCCAGCUUGGCCCCACAACCAUGGGUGCCAAAUUUUGGAGCCGGGGCCCCCGGAAGCCAUGGUUGUGGGGCCCUGGCUCUGAAAUUUGUGGGUACCCAGUCCCUUCAUGAGGAAUUUUGUGGGUGCUCGGGCACCCAGGGCCCCAGGGAGUUGGCACAUAUGGUGCCAAACAUGCAGAAACACAAUUUCUAGGGCAGUACAGUGGUGCCUCGCAAGACGAAAUUAAUCCGUUCCGCGAGUCUCUUCGUCUUGCGGUUUUUUCAUCUUGCGAAGCAUGGCUAUUAGCGGCUUAGCGGCUAUUAACGGCUUAGCGGCUUUAAGAAAAAGGAAACAAACUCGCAAGAACUCGCAAGACGCUUCGUCUUGCGAAGCAAGCCCAUAGGGAAAUUCGUCUUGCGGAACGACUCAAAAAACGGAAAACUCUUUCGUCUUGCGCGUUUUUCGUCUUGCGAGGCAUUCGUCUUGCGAGGUACCACUGUACAGUUAAAGACCGGGAUAAAAAAAUCUACAUGCAAAAGGCUUGUUGGUAGAGGAAGGUCAUCAAUAGACAUCAAAAAGACAACAAUAAAAUGCUGAUCAAUCUAUACAACUUUCUUUAAAACAAUAAAAAUAAACUGACCUAAUCCACUAAUUUAAAACUGCUUAAUUCUACCACUAAAAUUGUUGAAAGGCCUCGCAGUUCAUUCAUCUCACCACGCCUAAGGCAAACAAUGAUGAACUACUAUUAUCAUUAUUAUUGUUAGCAGUCUUGUUGUGUUUAUUACCCACUUUCCAGGGCAGGUUGCAAAAAAAUUAAAUACAACAUUAGCAACAAUUUAAAACAGCAGACAAUCACACAAAAAUUGUAAUGAGACUCCCUGUCAUAAUUCCCCAGCCUUCACUUAAUCCUUCAAGAGAAUGGAUUUUAUUUGGAACCCAAGAUGGGAAGCAUGGAUUUUUAAACACAGCAUGUAUCCUUUGGAUCUAGAGUUCCCUAUAUGCAGCCACAUGUUUUUUCCCCAUUUGACUGAUAGAGGCCUGAUCGUAUUGACAUCACAAUACGAUGUAACAACGCUGCUUUGCGGCUCCUCGCAUCUCUCUGUGGCUUCAUUGCAAUUUCAGCCUCUCCUGAGAGCUGCCAGGGGAACAUACAUUCAUCAGUAAAGCAUCUGGUGCAGAACAUUAAGCAGCCUGCAGUCCACUUGUUUACAAUAACAGUAUCAGCUGUUCGCAAUACUACACGUCAAUCUAUGUAGUGAUACAGUGAAAUAUAGAUAAUAUGACCUGGAGAGGCAGAGCUGCCUGUUACCUGUCAAAUCUUCAGCAUUUGCGUAAAACGGCGUAGAUGGUUCACUUAAUGCUUUGCCUGGAUUCUGUCAUAUAUUGACUUAACAGUCACAAACACAAGCCCCAAGCAGAUUUCCAAAGGCAAAUCUUAACAAUAGGCCAUGACGUCCAUAGCCCAGGUCAUCACUAACAAAACAAAUUAAGCAGAAUUGCUUAUUUAAAAUCAAUCAGAGCGUCUUCCUUCCAGCAUAAUACUUUCACUCUACUAUAGUAGAGUAAUAGUACAAACCUGGGCAGGUUUACUUAAGAUGUAAGCCCCACUGAGAUCAAUGAGACUUAGGCUGCAUACAUGCCAUACACUGAAAGCACACGACUCCCUCCCCUUCAAAGAAUUCUGCCAAAUGUAGUUUGUUAAGGGUAUUAAGAACUGUAGCUCUGUGAGAGAUAAACUACACUUCCCAGGAUUCUUUGGGGGGAGUAAUGGGGGGAAUGGGUUAAAAAUGUAGUAGCAAUAAUAAUUUGCACUAUCACAAUAAUGUUGACUUUUUAAAAAAGAUUGGGCUGCCUAAGUUUUGUUUCAUAAACAUAAAACAAAACAGUACGGUCAUACCUUGGAUCCCAAAUGCCUUGGUACUCAGACAUUUUGGCUCCUAAAUGCCGCAAACCCAGAAGUGAGUUGUCUGGUUUGUGAACGUUUUUUGGAACCUGAAUGUCCAACGGGGCUUUCGUGGCUUCCAAGUGGCUGCAGGAGCUUCCUGCAGCCAAUUGGAAGCCGUGCUUUGGCUUCCAAACAUUUUGGAAGUUGAAUGGACUUCUGGAACAGAUUCCAUUCGACUUCCAAGGCACAACUGUGCUUCAUUGUUCUUUCUGUGGUUCAAAUAUGAGCCUAAUGGAUUCACUGUGGUUGCAUACAUGCUAACCUAUCUGUAGCACAAAAAUGUGUUUUUUCUCAAUAUGGAAUCAUUUAUGCUUGUCCUCAAUAUGCUGCUUUCAAUACAGAUUGAUUCUGAAUCCUGCCAUCCACAAAGGUAUAUAGUUACUUUAUACCUCUUUGAAAACCCUUCCCCUGAUUAGGUUGUCCACACCUUUCCCUUCUUGCAGAUGCUCCAGGUUAAUGGAGGAGAACAUGGUGGUUUCAGUCUUGGUAUACAUCCACCCACAACAUCAUUUGGCAGGUGUGGGGACACGGACACAAACACAAUUGCUGGUACUGCCUACAUCUGUUUUGAAAUGGACACACUGUGGGAGAAAUGCAGAAUCAAACUGCAAUGAGUUUUUCUUUUUGGAAUGGAAUCAGUUUCUCAAGGAGUAGAAUUCAGAGGCCAAAAAUCUGCAAGAAAUCUAGAUUGUACGUGGACUACACGGGGGGUGGGGACCCAAGUACUCAGUCUCUGUGGUUUCUAGAAUAAAAAUAAGAAUGUCUGUACCACGAGAGUGUAAGAAACAUUUGAAUCCCAGUGGGUGGGAAGCUUUUAUCAGUUAAAACAAGGUGCUUUAAAUUGCAACUGUGAUUUCAAACUGGGAUGACACAGACCUUCAAAGCUCGUCAUGAAGAGGUCUAUUUAGUGUUGCUCAAAGUAAUAAAUAUCACAGCGGAGGCCCUCGCUGAAAUGUAAUUUUGGAGUGAGAAAGAGGAUUUUAGGUCAGCAUGGAUGCUGACAGCAAUUCUCACGCACGUUCCUUUCUCUGAGCUCUUUCUAUGGACCCACCCUUGGUUUUGCUAUUUUCUUCUAAGCCAAGGUGAAGGUGAACGAUUGUCUGCUGAAUAGCAAAAAUAGCACAUUUGCACAUUGUUGGGAAGAAAAGUACAAAGAUCUCUCACAAACCAAACAGAAAGAAAACCACUUCAUUUUUGUAUAUGUUUGCCUGUUGUGGUAGCAAGCACUGAAAGCCCUCACUGAAUUAGAAAGAACAAUAUUAAAUACCAGCCAGUAAAGCAAAAGGGGUGUAGCAUGAGGGAUGCCAGUGGGGCCAUGCCUCUAGGCAUGGUUUUUUGAGGGGGUGCAAAGCAGGCACCCCCGGCAGAUGCCCCCAGUGCAGCCUGGCCUAGCACUCCUCUCCCAGAGUUGGAGGAAUCAACACUUGCGGAGAGAAGCAUUGGGCUGCGCUGGGCUGGGGGCACCAACAUACAGUGGCGUAGCAAGGUCAGGUGGUACCCGGUGAAGAAUUUUUUUGUCACGCACCCCACAUUGAAAUUCCCCCUUCCUCCCUCUACCCCCAUCAAAGAAAGCCGCACAGGCAGCUAUCUGAUGUAGAUCCUGCCUUUCCCCCCUCCCUCCCUCCACACCCUGUCAAAGAAAGCCAUGCCCUGCCCUCCUCCAGCACCCCGGGAGCAUGGGGGGCAAUGGCGCGCCACCCACCCAUGACUCCCAAGCCUCCCCUGAGCUGUCAAAAGGAAGGGGAAAGGGUGGAAAGCCGCCGGCAAAGCAGCACAGCUAGCCACCUUCCUCUGACGGCUCAGGGUAGGCUUGGGAGUCGCAGGCGGGCAGCGCGCCGAAUGUCACCCCCUCAGUGUGUAUGUGUGUGCGGCUGUGCUUGAAGCAACUCAACCACGAGGCAACUCAACCCUGCUCAGUUCCACAGGCAGCGUUGAGUUGCAUUUUGUAAAAAAAACACUCAUUGAUGGCACCCGGGGAAGUCUGCCCCCACCGCACCCCCUUCCUCCGCCAGUGCCAGCAUGGUGACACCAGGUUUGCGCCCACCAAGUGUUGGCUGGCCAGGCUGAACCCUGUGCAGGCAGGCAGGCGGCACAGCACAGCCCUACUUGGCUUCAGUGUGGGGCAGGGUCGCUCCACCGGGGUCAGUGGCAAGGGCUGGGGUGUCAUGACUGGAUCCUUCACCCUUUGCACUCCGUGCCCCGCCCCCAGUGUGUGCAUACCCCCUGGCACACGUGCAUGCCUGCCCCAGGCUCCAGGAGCUCACACUAAGGCUGAACUAGCAUGUGGGUUUUCCCCCCAGAGAAAACUGUGCCCAGAUUUUGCAAUUCCCUUCCAAGGACGCCCCCCCCCUUGCCAUAUUGCAAUUGCCUGCAGCCUAACUAUUGCAGAUGCAAACAGUGUUGCAACUGGGGUCGAAUGUAACUUCUCCAAUACUACCAUGAACCGAAAUCAUCAUAGAUGUACAAUAAAAUGAUGUUUGAUGGGCACACCUACCUACGAGUCAACUCUGUUGAACAUGGUGGGGACAUGUCUCUGAGUGUAUGUGCAUAGAAUGGUGCUGCUAAUAUGUGGUUUGCUAAUGUUUUACUUAGUGGUUUAAUCAGCCCUGAUUAAAGUCCAACCACACCUGGAGGGCUACAGUUCCCCAAGCCUGCUUUUCUGAUGUAAAUGCUAUGGUAAAAAGAAUAGCCAAUACAGUGCUAUCCAGAUCUUUUUGGGCUCCAAAUCCAGCCAGGAUGGUCAGGGAUGGUGGGUGUCGUCAUCCAAUGACAUCUGGAGGGGUCCACCUUGGCAUAAUUCUUCCUUGCCUUUUUUUAACUUACCAGAGAAACAAGCAAGGCUCAGCUCUUCAUUUCAAGCAGUUCUGUUCCUUUAGCUGUCCUUUGUUUAUGCGGUGCUAACACUGCAGAGCUCAGUAUGACUCAGCGGCAAUGUAACCAGUGAGUCAUAACUGUGGUCUGCUUUCUUGAUUGAGUCUGAACAACCCACCUAUUCCCCUUGCCUGGCCUAUUUUCUGCAAGGCCUUAAGGGAGGAGGGUUGAGUCCUCAAUAUUUCCAUACUGAUGAACAUCCUAGUCACAGAACUCUUGCAUCCUGGCAGCUUCUUUAUUUCCAUUUAUAUUGCUGACCAGAGAAGCUUUAACCCUUAAAGUCACCUUGAUGUAAAAAUCCAACCAAAAGUAGGCCCAUUACAUACUUAAGAUCCUUUGAAAUCAAUGGGACAGUCCAUUGACUCCCUGAGCAGCUCUCUGACCCAAAUGAGUCACUACACCAGGCAAGGAACAUGUCCUCCUUUGCACCUGCAUUCUAACAUCAUCACAUUUUGUGUUUCCAAUCCAUACUUUUGCCAGUGGCAUCAAACAAUGCAUGGCAGGUGUGGGCAAAUGAAUGGUGUGAGCGUGUUAUGAUCAGCCAGGUAUCAUGUCUACUCUGAAGUGAGCUGUACUGAGCAGCACUGAGUUUCUUCUAAAUAAGUGGGUAUAGGAUUGCCGCCUCUGUAUUAUGCGGGGAGGGCAGGGGAAACUCCAUAUGGGCUGCCAUUUUCAACUGUAACCCAACUCCAGGCCAACCAGCCACUCAGUAGCUCAAACUUAUUUGCUAAAAACUAUUGGCCAUUAUGAAACUACAAAAGGAAAGGACUUGAUCAUCUUCACAUCACACAAUGGAAAUAAAACGUAUGGACAAUGACUUUGUCUGAGACACUAAUUAAGAGAAUACAUGCCCUGAAUGACGCAACUGAUGCAAAUGAUUUUGCUGAAAAUUCCUCCGGGGAGAGAGCCAUCUCCUGUUGAUGGGUUUGCAAUGGCAUGUUAAGAUUUCUUUAUCCCACAGGAUAGCUGGGGCUCUCUGGGCUGUUGUAAUGGUGAUGGGGUGUUCAUUCCACUCUCCAUCCUGACCACUGAGCCAUUGUAUCAUAGGUUAGGGUUACCAGACUCCCCAGUUCCCGGGGACAGUCCCCGGAUUUGCAAAUCUGUCCCCGGACAAAUUCUGUCCCCGGAAUGUCCCCAGAUUUGCAAAUCUGUCCCCGGGAAACGUGGCAGCGUCAGCCUCAGCAGCCCAGAGGCAGCCUGGUAGCGCAGUUGGCUCUGGCUGGCUUCAGGAGCUGCUCGCCAGCCAGAGUCAACUGCGCUACCAGGCUGGCUCCAGGCUGCUGACUGCCACUGCCACAGCCACUGCCAAAGGGGAACAGGGGACGUCUGGCGGUACAGAUCUCCUGCCCCCUUCCCCCUUUGUUUUGACUGAUUGGGGGAAGCUUGGGAGUUGCGGGCGGGUGACCAUUGCCCAGUUUUUUUAAAACUCUGAGCAUUUAUGUUUCACAGGGUGUGAAAGAAGGGCUUUGCAUGUGUGCUUGGGCCCAGGGUCUUUUGCCUCACCAUCCCCACUACUGACUCCCUGUUGCUACUCAGCUUAAAAACAAAACAAAAACGUGUCCCCGGAUUCAUUGAAAAAAAUCUGGUAACCAUAUAAUAGGUGCCAACUGCCUGGGGCCCCGGGUGCCCAAGCACCCACAAAAUUCCUCAUGAAGGGGCCGGGCACCCACAAAUUUCAGUGCCAGGGCCCUGCAUGGUGCAUGACACCCAUGGCCCCAGGCACCCACACCGUGGGGCCAAGCUGGCACUCCUGCAUUGUUUCACUUUUGCUUUAUUGAUUGCGUUGAUAUUGUCUUUUAAGCACGCAUCUAGUUUUUUAAUGCUCUAAGCCAUCUUGAAGUGCUUUGAAGAGAACUAUUUUAGCGAAGGAAUAAGUGAAUGACAUAACCUAAUGUUUCUAGUCUCACUCAGAGAUUGGGGAGGAAUUUGAUUCCGUUCAGUUUUAAAGGUAACCGUAUAAUGAGCACUUUCCAGAACAAUAUCCCAAGGGAAACACAACUAUCUUUUGAAAUCCACGCUUUCCUGAAUUUUGCAUUGCAGUUUACAGCCUAUAUGCAAAAAUGCAUAUACUGAGGGAGUGUGUGCAUAAAACUGCAUAGCUUAGUAAAAUAGCAUGCAAAGAUGCAGUAUAAUAGAAAACACUGGUUUGCAAAAAUGUGUGUACUGUAUUGGGCAAAAUUGCAUAGAAAAAUGUGUGCGUUAGGAGAAAUUUGCACUAAAAUGGUAAUAAGUUUUUAUGAGGACUUAAAAAAGAAAAGAAUCACAAACUCAUAUGGAAAUGUAGAGAACUGAAUUUAAGACUGGGAAAAUGAGAAACUGGGAUAAAUCCCCAUGGACAAAUUUGCUUAUCUCUGUUCUCAACUCAUGGAUACAAAACAGCAAGUACUGAAGGAAGAUCCCCACUUACAUACCCAGGGACAUAGCCUUUUAAGGUUAAGAUCAGCUCACAUCCCUCUAAUAACUGUGUACAACCAGAGACAAUAGCUAAACAAACAAACAAAUGAAUAACCCCCUCCAUUAAUAAUGGUGAUUUGCACGCCUCUGUUUUCCCCAAUGUUCAGUCCUCUUAGGGUUGUACCAUUUCAGGAUGGGGUGUGUGUGUCACAGGAUCAAAUGCUCCUAAAUGUAAAAGAAACAUUUCCUGCAAACUAGGGUGCCAUGAAGAAAUCUAGUCGAGAACUCUUGUUGCUUCACAUUCCAGCUUCUCAUAAAGCUGGAAGGGAAAGCAUUUCAUUAUGAAUUCUGAAAUGGUACAGUCCCAGGUGGUCUCUACCACAUUUUGGUUGAAAUUGAGUGUACAGCAGCCCACUGAGAAUGUAUCUCAGGGCACAUUUCCUUCAGCAGGUGCAAUGGCAUAACUGCCAAUUUCCCCCUACAAAUCUCAGCACACUAAAGUAAUUUAAAGCACCAUGGCUGAAUAUGUGAUCAUUCUGCUAAACACACACACACACACACACACACACAGAGAGAGAGAGAGAGAGAGAGAGAAUGUCUUAUACAUUUUGUCUCAUAUACUUAAAAGCCUGCAUUUUUUAAAAAAUAGAAUUUAACAGCAAAGCACAGCAUUGUAGCGUUGUGAAAUUUCCCUGCUCAAAAGCACUCCAUUAUUCAGGGGAGAAUGAGAAUCAGUAUAAUGUACCCCAAAGAACAAAUCACUGGUGAGUAACAGACGAGCAAGCAAGAUUGCAGCUGAAUGUGAAGUUGGGAAAACAAUCAGCAUUUACGCAUAAAUUAUUUGUUAAUAAGUGGAAGCGGUUGGGGGUAAAUGGCAAGAAAAUUGCUUCAGCCCAAAGGUGCAGCCACUGCUAUAAUCCUGGCAGGUGUCAGCAUCUACCUCCUCUGUCCCCUGGUAAGCUCUCUUUGUGGAAUCCACUAGGAUAGUAUCAGAGGAGCACCAGGGAUGUGCUGGAGGAACCCCAAAUGGCACCUAGCCCAAGGCUUCCUCAAAACUAGCACUGGUCUAGCAUCUCAGGCUAAGCAGAUGUUGCUUCUUCGAGGAAUGGAGUAAGGGAGAGAGAUGGCUGCCUCCUCUGUGCUAUUUUGUCACCUGCACAGAUGAAGCCACGCCCACCUCUGGUCACAUGUAAAGGAAGUCUGUCUGAGCCCAGGAGGAAACAGGAAGUUCCAACUGGCUGGUCCAGACAUCCCCUUUUUAUGUCCACUCUAGGAAUGUUGUAUUUGACUGCUCUGUGUUUCACAUCCCACAAAAAAUAGAUUAAGAUCCUAGUUGCUUCAUACCAACAACAUCUGGAGGGCUACAGGUUACUCACCUGUGAUUUAUAAGUUGCUGCUAUUGUUAACUAAUUGGGAAUCAGAAAUCCUUGGUGAUCUAUCACAAAUCACCCCGGGAUCUACCUUCUGCCUACCUCUGCUCUAUAUUAUCUAACUAAACUUUAAUAAAAUGUGCCACUGUAAAACUGUUCCUUUAAAAAUCAAGAGAUAAAUUUUGAUUCUCCCUCUUUAAGGGCUACAUUUGCUAAAUCUGUACACAACAGCCAUCAUAUGCACGCCACAGAACACACAAAUUACUUUUCAAACUAAAAGAGAUUUUUUUCUUAGUUUCAAGGUGUUUUCAUUAUCAUAACAAAGAACCGAUUCUCAAAAGAACCUGCAGGUGCCUUUGAAUAUAUUACAAAUGCUUAACAAAAACAUAAUUGUCCAAAGUGGGGUGGGGGGGACUCCUUAUUUGUUCUCAGUCUUGGUUAGAUUAUGUCUCAAAAGUACUUUCUGAAUACAGAGUUGUCGUCAUCCAUUUUAUCAUAACAGUAAGAGCGGGCAUAAACCUUUGCAGUAGGUAACCAAUCAGUGGCUCUCCAAUUGUUCCUUGAUAUGCUACCAUGCGACCUCUUCGUGAGUGUUACCCUGAUUGGUUUGCAAGGUUGCAAGACAACUCUGGCUGUUUCUGAGCAUUCAUUCAGAUAUGUAUGAACGGAGGGAAUGUGGUGUUGCAAGUGUCGUUCCACACUUCCCAGUGCAUUUUGCUGCUACUUUCCUUUUCGCAAAAAGGCUGGUCACUUGGGGAAGUGGGUUUGUCGCAGAAAUCUUUUGUCGCACAAGAUUUCCCAGUCAAAUAUACUUGUGCAACCUGUAUUUGGCAGUGUGUGAUUGAAUCCCACCCGAAGACAGCAAAAGUCUGGAAAUGCCCAGCAACAUCCAUCACCCCGAUGGAUUGUAGGACUACGGGUCCUUCCACUUUCAUUAAAACAGUAAACUAGCUGCUAUUUUAAACAGUUUCUUUGAACAGGAUCUAAGUAGCAGUAUUCUAAAUAGUUGUCAGUUCUUAGUUUCUCUGCUAAAUAAUUAUUAGUGAUGCUCUGUUAGCCGCUUUGAAACUCCCUUAAAGGGAGUGAAAGGCGGGAUAUCAAAUCCAAACUCCUCCUCCUCCUCUUCUUCUUCUUCUUCUUCUUCUUCUUCUUCUUCUUCUUCUUUCAAGAAGUUCUGCCCAGACUAAACAGUAUUAAUUUUGCUGUUUGUGUUCCCCCGUUUUCCCACCCCCAUCUCCAAAUACACACCACCCCUAUAGUCAGUCUGCCCCCUGUGGCCUUUACUUGGGGUCUGGCAACCAAUCCCCGCUACCCCCAAGUCCACAGGAAAAAACCAAAACACCCAGAAGUUGACAAUGGUCCGCAUAUGAUAUCCUUUUACUGCCUCCUCUAAAUGUUUCCAUUAUAGGAUUCUGAAAUCCUGUUUGUACUGAAGAGACAUACCCUGCAAAAAAAUAUGACGACGUUUUAGCCAGAGUUUACUGUUAUAAAGUGAAGGCAAUUCAACAUGAGAACCCUGGGGAAAGCUCUUAGGAAAGCUUGCAUGUGCUGUUUGUGGUGAGGCUUUGCUGCCGCAGGUACAUUGCCAUAUACAGUGCUACCUCGGGUUAAGAACUUAAUUCAUUCUGGAGGUCCGUUCUUAACCCAAAACAGUUCUUAACCUGAGGUACCACUUUAGCUAAUGGGACCUCCUGCUGCCACUGUGCCGCCGCCGCACGAUUUCUGUUCUCAUCCUGAAGCAAAGUUCUUAACCUGAGGUACUAUUUCUGGGUUAGCGGAGUCUGUAACCUGAAGCGUCUGUAACCUGAAGCACCACUGUAACAGAAAAUGAUUGAGGACAUGGAGCCCGACCCCAAAGUGAUUUUUAGAUAUGUGUUUAGUUUCGUAUUGAAACAGGCUACGCUGUAGUUUUUCCUGUUCCCGCUAGGGGGAGGUUUCAAUUUCAGCCGUUGGGACAAGCAUCUCUGCCUAGGAACAGGGAACUGUUGCUUUUUCCAAGAUCAAGAAUGUUCUUUGUGUAUCAGCAGGUUUUCAGAACUCAGUAAUAACUUGACAGAGUAGGCUAACAGUACAGGGGGCAGAUGUAUUCCAAAUAAGCAAUAUGAAUCUGGAAGCAAUGAGUCUCAGAGACGUUGUUGCAAGAAGUUGAUGCAAAAUGGGUAAUCUACCCCUCUGUCUACCACGCUCAAUGAGGGCUCCAAUCAUUCAUUAAUAACAGGAACUUAACUAACCUAGUGUACAAUGAUGAUCACCUCCGGUGCAUUUUCGAAUGCCUCCAAUAACCUUCUAAUUGUGUGCAGGCUAACCUGGUGUCUAGCAUGAUUGCAAUGGGGCCACUGGGAACGGGAAUGGGAGAGCGGCUGCAGUGACUUGGCGGUGAUUGAUUGCCUUCAUUCCCAUUUUAUUCCCAGCGCUAGGUGCGCACGGCUUCUUCCACGGUGCAAUUUAAUGAGAUUUGCGACAUGGAUACCCUGGCUAAACCGUUCAGGCUGGAAGUUUUCAUUUGCUAGUCUACAUUUCUUCUGAUGAGUCUUGAGAGAGUUUGACUCCGGCAAGAUUAGUGAGGAAAGGGGGCAGGAAAAGUGAAGGGCGUUUGUCUGGUUUUGGGACAGAGGAUCAUCACUGUGUUUAUUUGUGUAUUUCAUGUAGAGAUUAAGGCGCAGAUUGAUAGGUGAAGGGUCUCGGGGAAUGAGAAGCACAAAGUCUGUUUGGAACUGUCCCGUUCCCUUUGAAAAUCCCCCGCUGUGCUUUCCUGCAGAGCUGACAUGUUGGCUGAGUUCUUCCUGUCUGCAAAACAAAACAAAAAGUCUGUUUUUCUUUUUUCUUUUUUUUUAAAAAAAGCCCUGCCCCCCCAAACCAAGCACGUAUUAAUCUAAUACAGAUUAGAUUGUCCUAAAGGCCAAAAAAGACACCUAGAUGGUCAUGCCUUCAAAUCGAUCAGCUAUAAUAACUCAAGGGUCAUCGUCAGUGGAAGUAAACCUACAUUUAAAUCUGCCAUUCAAAAAUCACAACCAUUUGAAUGUGUCAACACCAGAGAUUGCAGUCAGCCUGAAUAAGGGAUGGAUAUUCUCUUAUUUUCCUGUCUGCCUUGAAAGAAAACGAAAGCCCAUUUGUUGUUACUCUUCAGUGUGUGUUAAUGGACUUUAUGAAACAAUCACAGGAUAAAGAUAAUAUAUGAACAUAAGUCAUACCCUCCAACAUGCCCAGGUCAAAAUCUGGGGAGCACUCCCAGGCAAGUCACAUGACUGCACACCCAUGGCACAAGGUUGCGGCACCCAAACUGGCUGCCAUGCCCUAGCGUGAAAAAUGGGAUGUCCAAUUUUCCAGGGACAGUUGAGGGGUACCCAAAAUUGUAAUGAUAGAGACCACAAGACUUUCUGAUACUACCUUCAAUUUUGUCUAGGGACGGAUAGUUCCAUCAGUUUCAGUUUCUUGUGAUGUCUAAUUUUUCCCAGUCUUAAAUUCUGUUAGCUACAUUUCUGCAUUAGAUUAGUUUUUCAAAAGAAUCAUAAAAAUUCAAUCAGCCUUUUCGUCUGCAUUUCUUCUAAUAUACACAUUUCUGCAAGUCAUUUCUCCUAAUAUAAUGUAUUUUGUAUGCUGUUUUUCACUAAUGUGAACAUUUUAAAUGCAUGCUUUCCCUAAUAUACACUUUUUUGUUGGAGAAAUGUGCAGCAAAAUUAAGAGAAGCACAAAUGUUGAAGGACAAUUAUAUUUCAGGCUGCUUAUUAUAUUUGAAGUGUAAACAAAGUAGGCAUGCAUCAUGCAAACCAAACCAAAUUUCUUUUAUUGCUUUAGACUUCAAUCCUAACCUCAAUCCUAAUCCUAGGAGGAAGGCCCACUGAAUUCAAUAGGACUUACUUCUGAGUAGAUUUGGAUAGGUGCUGUCAAGAUCAUUAACAGCUUGAAGCAGAGAUCCAGGUGUAAAAAAAUGGUAGAGACAAAGGACCCCUUGACAGUUAAGUCCAGUCAAAGGCGACUAUGGGGUUGUGGCGCUCAUCUCGCUUCAGGUCGAGGGAGCCGGCGUUUGUCCACAGACAGCUUUCUGGGUCAUGUAGCCAGCAUGACUAAACUGCUUCUGGCACAACAGAACACCAUGAUGGAUACCAGAGCACACGGAAACGCCAUUUACCUUCCUGCCGGAGCAGUACCUAUUUAUCUACUUGCACUGGCAUGCUUUUGAACUGCUAGGUUGGCAGGAGCUGGGACCGAGCAACAGGAGCUAACUCCGUCAUGGGGAUUCGAACUGCCUACCUUCUAUAUGGCAAGUCCAAGAGGCUCAGUGGUUUAGACCACAGUGGCAUCAGCAUUCCUACUCUGAUGUACACUCUUAUCUCUUUAAGAGAUCAGAGAGUAAAGUCUGAUCAUAGGCAUGUCACCGUCACUGGAAUGAAGCCAUUGUUGUUGGGUGAGAGCUCCGUGCCUAUUUUAGAGUGUCCAUGCCUUAAAAAAAAAUGCUAGGGCGGGCCAGUAAUUUUCCUUAAAAAGCUAUAUCACAUCUGUUGCUGCUUAAAAAUGUGAACUAGAAUUGGUAUUUUCCAUUUAUUCUUGCAAGUUGUAGGAUGCUUUAAAAAGGGGGAGAAAAAAGAAUAACACGUUUUUAGCAAACCUUGCUGAACUUUUUAUGCAUGGAAGGGUUUUUAUCUUUCUUACAUAUAAAUGUGUUGGUCAUUGUCUUUUAAUUGUUCUAAUGGCUUUUAUAUAUCAAAAUGUGCCAUUGUUUUUCUUUUAAGAUCGCUUCCAGAUAUUUGAUGGGAAGUGAUGCACAAAUGGAAUUAAAUAAAUGAAUAGAUCCACUUUGAAAUUUAUCAACGUUAUGCAACUGGGUUGUUAUUUCCAUCCAGUUGUGGCAGCCAAAAAAGCUGUCAGGAUCGCUCUAGAAAAGGCUACAGUUGCCAUUAUUUCCACUCCAGCUACAAGCAGGAUGGAGAGGAAAUGUCACAAGAAGAUCUGUUCCCAUGUGAUACCUCCCAGCAGUCUUUUACUGACUUCAUAUCAUUUGGAUAAGUUUCAAGGCAACUCUGUAUAGGGUAUGCAGCUACGCAAAUGCAGAGGAAAUGGCUUGUGUCUGCUUUCUGUCUGCAUCUUCCAAGUCAGGACUGUCUGCGAUAAUCCACAGGAGGCAGCACUGUGUUCAAGGCGGCCUGCUAUAUGAGAGACCCUCUUUGCUUUUAGUAAUCAGAACUAAUUCAAUAUGGGUCAUUUAUUCUCCAAACACUAGCAUGUCGUGCAGAUGAACUUAAUAAUGCUGCAUUGCAAGUGUCUGCAUAAUUAAAGCCAGGAAAUAACAUUGGAUGUUAUUUUCUAAGUGGCAUUAAUGAAAGUACUUUUUCACCCAAUUCACAAUUAAUAUAUGCAAUUUGUGGCUACAAGAGGUGGUGGUGACCAGAAGUCUAGUGUCAAAUUACACUUGACAUUAAACAAGUGGCAUAAGAGUGUGUUUUUCUUCUACAGCUGAUAGCAGCUGGGGACCCUAAUCAUAGCAGCACAAUGAUGAUUUCAUUGUUACUGAUUACUGAUAAUCUCAUUGUUUUAUUCUUUUUGUGAACCGCUUUGAGGUUCUUCUUUUUUCCACAAUCAGUAUAUACAUAAAUAAAUGGGAUGGGAGGGUCUUUCCUUCCACUCUGCAAUAGUGAUUAAUAUUGCCCCUCUGAAGCUGCUACUUGGCAGGUGCAUAAAGCCUCCAUAGGUGCCAGUGGUAGCUGUUCUCCCAUGCCAUAUAGGAGCUUUAAAAGACAGAUUUCUUUGUAGAGAUGAUGGUAUGGGAGGACAAGGCAAAUCCUCCACAUGUUUCAAAGUCACAUGUAGCUGGGCCCCAUGUUGACUUUAUAGGUGGUGCUGUGGUCUAAACCACUGAGCCUCUUGGGCUUGCUGAUCAGAAGGUCGGCGGUCCGAAUCCCCGCAACGAGGUGAGCUCCCGUUGCUUGGUCCCUGCUCCUGCCAACCUACAAGUUUGAAAGCACGCCAAAAAGUGCAAGUAGAUAAAUAGGUACCGCUCUGGCGGGAAGGUAAACGGCGUUUCCGUGUGCUGCUCUGGUUUCAGUGUUCCGUUGUGCCAGAAGUGGCUUAGUCAUGCUGGCCACAUGACCUGGAAAUACUGUCUGCAGACAAACGCCGGCUCCUUCGGCCUGUAAAGUGAGAUGAGCACCGCAACCCCAGAGUCGUUUGCGACUGGACUAACUGUCAGGGGUCUUUUACCUUUUUAGACAAAUACAUGGGGAAUAGUUCAUAGCCAUUAUGCAGCUAAUAACCAUAUUACAGCUACUAGCCAUAAUUUGGAUUACUAGAAGUUGUUGGGACUCCUCCACAACAAACCUACUUCCCCUAAGAAUUGGACUUUUUGCAAAAAGUGACAGGAAAAUGUGCCUGAAUGUUUGGGGGAAGUUUGCUUGGCGCAACACCAUUACCUUCUCUGUAAACAAAUCAGAAUGAAUACUCAAUGUCUACUCUCCCUGCAGGGAGAUCAGGAUGAAUGCUAGUAAGCAGGUUGUCUGGAAGUGACAUUAUAGGGGUAUAGAUGUGCUUGGAUUCAGCAGCUCAACAACACCAUGUGCCUUUAAAUUAUUCUUUGGCAAUCUUGUCCCCACUUCUUUGAGAACAGUGUCUACUGAAGCUGAUCCAUCGACUGUGCAUCCAACACAGGAGAAACAGGUUGUGCAGCCAAACUCAACAGAACUGAAAUCCUAAACAAUUCCUGCAGGGAACUGGUAUGUGCAGCCAACACAGAACUGAAUCCCAUGCUUUGCCCAUCAGCUGACAUCACCUGCCCAUUGGAGUGAUGUAGCCUGACUGACAGGUGGGUGUGGCUUUGAUAAAAUAGUCUCAUGGGCCAAAUUGGAGCACCCAGAGGGUCAAGAUUGUCCUGUGGGACAGAGGUUCCCCACUACUGCUCUUUAAUACAAUCUCAAACAUAUCUGGGAGUAAGCCCUGUUGAAUUCAAUAGGGCUUACUUCUGAGUAGACCUGGUUACUAUUGUGCUGGAGUCUACAACCUGAUGUGCCCUCUAUAUCCGUCCCAGGGGCAAUCAUUACAUCAUGUUGUUGUUGUUGUUGUAUGUUUAUACCCCACCUUUUCCUCUGACAGGGACCCAAGACUGCUUACAAAUAAAAGUAAGAACGGCUAGUCAUUCAGGUCAGUAC